GAUUUAUGAUUUAGUAUAGCGAUACCUACUUAUAUGAAAGCUGUCAUCCCGGUGAAUUUUUCGUCUGCUAGAGUUUAAAAAUGGUUGUUUGUUUAUGUUUUGGUUCAAUACGAAUGUACUGAAUAAAAUUAGAAGAUUUCGAAUAAAGUACACUGUUCAUACUGCAGAAAUUUUAAAGAAAUAAAUAAUUAUUGCAGAAAAUAUGCGUACAAUCAAACAGAAGACCUUGAUACGAGGUUUACAUGUCUAUAAAAGACAAGUAAAGCCAGGAGAUAUUUUAAGUUGUAAACUUGACCAAUUCUGGAUGUUGGAAAACCCCAGUCGAUACAGCAUUGCUGUCUAAGAUUCGUUUAACCGAACGGUUGGACAUAUUGCCAAAGAAUGGGAAUAUUCCUUGGGCCCUUUAAUCGAGUUUAAAAGAAAGGAGGUGGAGGUUAGAAUUCCUCCAGAGGCCAAAAUUCACAACUUUGGCGAGGGACCCCAAAUUGAAUGCGAGAUAAGCUUCCCGUUUGACAAGAACCUAGAUUUUGUCUGGCUAAGAGUGUACAGGGAGGAGGUUCGGAAGCAAGGAGGAAUAAUCCUAGGAGUGAGGACUAAAUUCAUUUUUGACCAAAAUCUACUUAUUUAAACAAUUGAUGUAAACAACUAUUUUUUAUUUAAACAAUAAAUUUACAAUAUA
This is a long non-coding RNA of Eurytemora carolleeae, 679 nucleotides long. RefSeq lists it as uncharacterized. NCBI's taxonomy places the organism in Eukaryota, Metazoa, Arthropoda, Copepoda, Calanoida, Temoridae. The record is from RefSeq and is a predicted model, not a curated record. The transcript is spliced from 3 exons.